UCCCUGGUAGUAUAUCGGUUAGUACACGCGCCUGUCAUACAACGUGCGCGCGAAAGCGGGGUUCGACUCCCCGCCAGGGAG
RNAcentral lists this transfer RNA (81 nucleotides) under Wolfiporia cocos MD-104 SS10. RNAcentral's name for it is "tRNA-Asp". It matches the Rfam family "tRNA". Rfam says of the family: Transfer RNA (tRNA) molecules are approximately 80 nucleotides in length. Their secondary structure includes four short double-helical elements and three loops (D, anti-codon, and T loops). The record is from RNAcentral. Lineage: Eukaryota; Fungi; Basidiomycota; Agaricomycetes; Polyporales; Phaeolaceae.